Molecule: non-coding RNA, 30 nt
Filed under: Mus musculus (house mouse)
Lineage: Eukaryota; Metazoa; Chordata; Mammalia; Rodentia; Muridae
Source: RNAcentral
UGGGUGUUCACAGUGAUGGAGCUGGUGAAU